Molecule: ribosomal RNA, 464 nt
Filed under: Vreelandella stevensii
Lineage: Bacteria; Pseudomonadati; Pseudomonadota; Gammaproteobacteria; Oceanospirillales; Halomonadaceae
Description: partial 16S ribosomal RNA
Rfam family: Bacterial small subunit ribosomal RNA
Source: RNAcentral
CCUCGGGCGGCUGCAGUGGGGAAUAUUGAACAAUGGGCGAAAGCCUGAUCCAGCCAUGCCGCGUGUGUGAAGAAGGCCUUCGGGUUGUAAAGCACUUUCAGUGGGGAAGAAAGCCUUGGGGCUAAUACCCUCGAGGAAGGACAUCACCCACAGAAGAAGCACCGGCUAACUCCGUGCCAGCAGCCGCGGUAAUACGGAGGGUGCGAGCGUUAAUCGGAAUUACUGGGCGUAAAGCGCGCGUAGGCGGUCUGAUAAGCCGGUUGUGAAAGCCCCGGGCUCAACCUGGGAACGGCAUCCGGAACUGUCAGGCUAGAGUGCAGGAGAGGAAGGUAGAAUUCCCGGUGUAGCGGUGAAAUGCGUAGAGAUCGGGAGGAAUACCAGUGGCGAAGGCGGCCUUCUGGACUGACACUGACGCUGAGGUGCGAAAGCGUGGGUAGCAAACAGGAUUAGAUACCCGAGUAGUC